This 460-nucleotide ribosomal RNA is filed under the name uncultured bacterium. RNAcentral's name for it is "partial 16S ribosomal RNA". It matches the Rfam family "Bacterial small subunit ribosomal RNA", at positions 338 to 795 of the family's 1533-position model. The record is from RNAcentral.
CCUACGGGGAGCAGCAGUGAGGAAUAUUGGGCAAUGGACGAGAGUCUGAACCAGCCAAGUAGCGUGAAGGAUGACUGCCCUAUGGGUUGUAAACUUCUUUUAUAAAGGAAUAAAACGAGGCACGUGUGCCUUUUUGCAUGUACUUUAUGAAUUAGGAUCGGCUAACUCCGUGCCAGCCGCCGCGGUAAUACGGAGGUUCCGAGCGUUAUCCGGAUUGAUUGGGUUUAAAGUGAGCGUAGAUGGGUUGUUAAGUCAGUUGUGAAAGUUUGCGGCUCAACCGUAAAAUUGCAAUUGAUACUGGCAGUCUUGAGUACAGUUGAGGUAGGCGGAAUUCGUGGUGUAGCGGUGAAAUGCUUAGAUAUCACGAAGAACCCCGAUUGCGAAGGCAGCUUACUAAACUGUGACUGACAUUGAUGCUCGAAAGUGUGGGUAUCAAACAGGAUUAGAUACCCCAGUAGUC